RNAcentral lists this ribosomal RNA (759 nucleotides) under uncultured Burkholderiales bacterium. RNAcentral's name for it is "bacterial SSU rRNA". It matches the Rfam family "Bacterial small subunit ribosomal RNA", at positions 28 to 776 of the family's 1533-position model. Lineage: Bacteria; Pseudomonadati; Pseudomonadota; Betaproteobacteria; Burkholderiales. The record is from RNAcentral.
AUUGAACGCUGGCGGCAUGCCUUACACAUGCAAGUCGAACGGCAGCAUGAUCUAGCUUGCUAGAUUGAUGGCGAGUGGCGAACGGGUGAGUAAUACAUCGGAACGUGCCCUGUAGUGGGGGAUAACUAGUCGAAAGAUUAGCUAAUACCGCAUACGACCUGAGGGUGAAAGUGGGGGACCGCAAGGCCUCAUGCUAUAGGAGCGGCCGAUGUCUGAUUAGCUAGUUGGUGGGGUAAAGGCCCACCAAGGCGACGAUCAGUAGCUGGUCUGAGAGGACGAUCAGCCACACUGGGACUGAGACACGGCCCAGACUCCUACGGGAGGCAGCAGUGGGGAAUUUUGGACAAUGGGCGAAAGCCUGAUCCAGCAAUGCCGCGUGUGUGAAGAAGGCCUUCGGGUUGUAAAGCACUUUUGUCCGGAAAGAAAUGGCUCUGGUUAAUACCUGGGGUCGAUGACGGUACCGGAAGAAUAAGGACCGGCUAACUACGUGCCAGCAGCCGCGGUAAUACGUAGGGUCCAAGCGUUAAUCGGAAUUACUGGGCGUAAAGCGUGCGCAGGCGGUUGUGCAAGACCGAUGUGAAAUCCCCGAGCUUAACUUGGGAAUUGCAUUGGUGACUGCACGGCUAGAGUGUGUCAGAGGGGGGUAGAAUUCCACGUGUAGCAGUGAAAUGCGUAGAGAUGUGGAGGAAUACCGAUGGCGAAGGCAGCCCCCUGGGAUAACACUGACGCUCAUGCACGAAAGCGUGGGGAGCAAACAGG